This 253-nucleotide ribosomal RNA is filed under the name uncultured bacterium. RNAcentral's name for it is "partial 16S ribosomal RNA". It matches the Rfam family "Bacterial small subunit ribosomal RNA", at positions 524 to 776 of the family's 1533-position model. The record is from RNAcentral.
UACGUAGGGGGCAAGCGUUAUCCGGAUUUACUGGGUGUAAAGGGAGCGUAGACGGCCAGACAAGUCAGAAGUGAAAGCCCAGGGCUUAACCCUGGGACUGCUUUUGAAACUGCCGGGCUGGAGUGCAGGAGAGGUAAGCGGAAUUCCUAGUGUAGCGGUGAAAUGCGUAGAUAUUAGGAGGAACACCAGUGGCGAAGGCGGCUUACUGGACUGUAACUGACGUUGAGGCUCGAAAGCGUGGGGAGCAAACAGG